This 468-nucleotide ribosomal RNA is filed under the name uncultured bacterium. RNAcentral describes it as "partial 16S ribosomal RNA". It matches the Rfam family "Bacterial small subunit ribosomal RNA", at positions 28 to 507 of the family's 1533-position model. The record is from RNAcentral.
GACGAACGCUGGCGGCGUGCUUAACACAUGCAAGUCGAACGGAAAGGCCCUGCUUUUGUGGGGUUCUCGAGUGGCGAACGGGUGAGUAACACGUGAGUAACCUGCCCUUGACUUUGGGAUAAUUUCAGGAAACUGGGGCUAAUACCGGAUAGGAGCUCCUGCUGCAUGGUGGGGGUUGGAAAGUUUCGGCGGUUGGGGAUGGACUCGCGGCUUAUCAGCUUGUUGGUGGGGUAGUGGCUUACCAAGGCUUUGACGGGUAGCCGGCCUGAGAGGGUGAACGGCCACAUUGGGACUGAGAUAGGGCCCAGACUGCUACGGGAGGCAGCAGUGGGGAAUAUUGCACAAUGGGCGGAAGCCUGAUGCAGAAACGCUGCGUGCGGGAUGACGGCCUUCGGGGUGUAAACCGCUUUGGCCUGUGACGAAGCGUGAGUGACGGUAAUGGGUAAAGAAGCACCGGCUAACUACGUG